AGACAGCAUCAGUGGAUGUUGCAAAUACCUCCUGCCUGGUUUCCCCACUCACCCCAAACCAGCCUCCUACUGACUGAUACAGAUCCCAAACAGAUUGUUCCCAUCCACUGGACCCUGUUGUUCCCAAUGGAGAAAUUCCUCACAAAGGAUGAGGAAGGGGGUCUCAGCCAAAUUCAGCACAAGUGCAGUCACACCCUGCGUUGUAAGGCUCCUCAGUUCCAUGAGGUAUGAUGAAGGAAAGCUGGGAUGCUUCAGCAGGAGCUGCCUAUCACAGUGAAUGAUGUAUCAACACUGAAAUGAGGGAGGAGGUGGUAAGAUGCUGCACAUGUUUCUUAUUCCCUACAUAUUCUGGGGGAAUUCCCUGCUUAUUCUGCUGCAGUCAGUGGAUUCAUUUUGACGUAAAACUGAUGGACUUGAGAUAAGAAUGAGGCCCAACCUGAAGAAAAGAAAGAGUACAUUGCUAAGAAAUGAGCUGUUGGACACAAACAGGGGAAGUCUCCUCCUAAGCCUGUGGAUGAGGGAUGCCCUUCUCCUCCCACGAGGACACAGUGACAACUUCUGACCACAGAGAAGCACUGUGCGAGUACCGCAGAGGGAAGACAGCCGUACCCAGCAAUCUGGUGUAUUUUUCAGUGAGGUGGAUUUGUGCAUUCCAGACAUCUACUGGGAUUCACUACGUGCCACGUUUCUCUGCACAGAGAGGUUUCAGGGUUUUACAGUGAAGGAUGUUAGCCAUUUACUUACACACUCUGAAGCAGUGAUUGUUAAUGAGCUGGACAUGAAAGACUGCCCUUCAUUCAAACUCACCAAAACUUCCAGAGUUCUGGAAAGAAA
Molecule: long non-coding RNA, 834 nt
Organism: Calidris pugnax (ruff)
Lineage: Eukaryota; Metazoa; Chordata; Aves; Charadriiformes; Scolopacidae
Exons: 3
Source: RefSeq, a predicted model, not a curated record